Molecule: long non-coding RNA, 1107 nt
Organism: Hyaena hyaena (striped hyena)
Lineage: Eukaryota; Metazoa; Chordata; Mammalia; Carnivora; Hyaenidae
Exons: 2
Source: RefSeq, a predicted model, not a curated record
GAUGUUAAAACAAGUAAACACCUUUGUGUCUGGGGAGAGAAAUCGCUGAGAAAGCAGCUUAGCGGGCUGGUCCCUGGUGUUCCUGGACCGGCUGGCCCCCAGCCCGGGGCUAGCACGCCUGUGUGAUCACAGCCCCCAGCCUGCUGGGCUCCAGCCUGCUCCCCCACCCUCGCCCCUCCCGGUGGCCGAGAGCAGAUUACUGAGAAGAACAAUUUCUUUGUGACUGUGUAAUUCCCUCCGUGACCGCGGCAGUGGGCAGACCCCUCGCCCUGAUGCCAGACCCCUAGCAACCACGUAGGGGGGCCUUCUGGCCCUAGCAACUACCCCUCAACAUCAAGUGCACCCGCUAAUCCCUGUGGCUAGGGAACGAGUAGAAGGAGUUUCUGCCGAAUGACGGGAAUGAAGAAGAAGGGCACCCUCCAGGCCUGAUCCCUCAGUUCCCCCCAAGAGAUGCUAGGCUCCCUGGCAUGCAUGACAGGAGAAACAAGGCCAUGAACACUUCCCAGGGACACCCAGGUACUUCUGGACAUUUGUACACGCCGGAUGGGGGCUGUUUUGCUCCACAAUUCUCCCUCCUUCCAGAUUUGGGGGCCCUGCCCCUUCCAUUAGUGAGGCCUUCAGGAAUGACUGAGGAGCUCUCCCCUUUAAUCUGUAGAAGUAAUUUCAUGUUUGGUUGAAACAGAAGAUGAAAGGCAGUGGGGGCUGGGGGUGUGAAGCCCAGCAUGGCUCUACCUGCCUACCCCUGGUCCCAGGGUCUUGAAGGAAAGAAAGGUGGGCACCCCUGGGCUGGGCAGGGUCAGUGCUAUCAGGACCAGCAACAUCAAGGCAAUACCCACUUCGGAUUGCUACCCUGGGCCCCUGCCCCAGCAUCCAAGCCACCACUGGAAAGUGUCAUGCCCGUGUCUGCGAUAAACACAGAACCCUGCUUGCUCGGGGAGACGCGAGGCCCAGCAGGAGCGCCGGAGGCCGGGAAGAGUCUAGAAAGCCCUAGUCCGCCAGUCCAGCCUGGCCGGGGACAGGAGAGUUGCUGCACCACUGUUCUCUGGUUCUCUGAAACGGCCACACACACUUUAAAUGGACCAAUAAAAAGAUACAAUUUCUUUUGCC